RNAcentral lists this long non-coding RNA (307 nucleotides) under Musa acuminata (dwarf banana). RNAcentral describes it as "long non-coding RNA (MACU_LNC005456)". The record is from RNAcentral. Lineage: Eukaryota; Viridiplantae; Streptophyta; Magnoliopsida; Zingiberales; Musaceae.
AUAUAAGCAAGACUCGGGAGUGGCACACCAAGCACAGUGAGCUUAGUUAACAGUCACCUUCCCCACCAUUCCAGCUCCCUGGUGAGGAGCGCAGUAGAAGGUGUAGGUGCCCUUCUCCUUCAAGGUCACCUGGUAGGUCUCGCCUGGGGCAUUCAGUAGGUCCUCCUCGGGCAUGGAGAUGGAGCCGACGUUGACACCCGCGGGGAUCUCGUCCUCGUCGAACACCACGUUGUGGGGGAACCCGGCGUUGUUCUUGAACACGAUCGUCUCCCCCGAGGGCACCGAGAACUCGUUGGGCACGAAGGCC